UCUCAGAAAAUAGAAGAGGAAUUGAGUGAGAAGAAGUAGAGGAAGCUUCUAGAAGUGGCAGUGAAGAGGAACACGAGAGAGUAAGAAAAAGAUAGAGAUCGACGAGGUUCAACCGAACCAAGCCGCCGCCGCCGCCGCCGUGGCCGAAGCCGCCGAUGAAUCUGUUCGUUGCUUGAAGUUCUCCUGCUGCUCCCUUUUGUAUUCAUCUCCUUUGUUUGUUUGGGCCUUGGCAUGGAUUAGCAAUUGAGUCAGCCCAUGUGUAGCUCAAUGGGUUCCUGACAGGUUCGUGGAACUGAUUGUUUUCAUCUCAGACUUGAAUCCAACAGUUGUGCAAGAUGAAAGUUGGCUUUAGUUCGAGCUUCUUUCUUCUGAUGUUUGUGGCGUGGUUUCUCUGAAGGACUGGCGAGUAUAAUCAAUAAUUUGGCUUCUUAACAGGAAUCUUCACUACAGAGUUAUUAUUGUAUGGCAUAGUUACUUACUGGGUUUUGCUGAAGUGCUCACUAUCUCGAUGCUACUCAGGCAUCCGUGUCAAUGAAAUGCGGUUUGGUGGUAGUGUGCUGUUUUUGCAUUUUUUUUUUAGAGAAGGGUAUAUUUACCCGGACUCUACAUCCAACUGGAUAUAUGUGCUCCUAUGGAGAUUUGAACUCAGGACCUUGGGGUGCUACUCAGGUCACUGCAACCACUAGGCUACAUGCCCUUUCGCACUGUUUUUGCAUAUAUUUUCAACAAUUGUUGUCUGCAUGAAUGGCAGUCUGGUACUCUGGCAGAAAUGAAGUGAAGAAAUCAAGCAUGGUGUUUCCAAAUUUUAUACUAGAAAGUGUGGUACAUCCCGAUACUUUUUCAAGGAUGGUAAAAUUACCCAUUUGGUGAAUAGAUCAAUAUGACCCUAAAAGUUUUUCUACCCUCUGAUAUCAGAACAUUUGCAGCGUAUGAUACUUGCUUGAGAAUCUUGAGAUCAUGGUUUACUCGUGUUGGAAGCAGGUAAAAAGCACAAACAUUGGCUUCAACUGGAAACUGCAUUGACGAGAUGACUGCGAUGAGUGUGCUGGUUUCCGACGGGAUUCAAAGCCCUACAGUAAUAGACCCGUAAUCAUGGAAAUAUGCCAUUCCUGGCUGAUAUGAGCCGAAGCACAUCAUUGAUUUCCUGAAUUUAGUGAUGUCAGGAGACCACAGAGGAUUGGUACCAUUCAUACCAACAAUCAAUGGGUGGCUCUGAGUGUAAUCAACAAUAUCUUCUUGAUGGGGAAUCUCCACUACAACGUUGUUCUAUUUUGUCUUGGUUUUGUAUGUUCUGUUCUAGUGAAGCAGAACAAAUUCCAACUUGAAAUCUUGACUGAAUUAGUACUCCUGUAUCUAUGUUUUAGUAUUGUGUGUUUAUCUUAUCUAAACAUAAUAGACACCCCCAUACUUAUUGUAAUGCACAAGCACUGGCACGCUGUAUUGCUCAUCGUUUCGAUGUUUCUCUGACAGUGGAUGCA
Oryza sativa Japonica Group (Japanese rice) is the source of this 1478-nucleotide non-coding RNA. Lineage: Eukaryota; Viridiplantae; Streptophyta; Magnoliopsida; Poales; Poaceae. The record is from RefSeq and is a predicted model, not a curated record.